GAUCACCGAAGUCAAGCAUCAUUGGGCGCGGUCAGUACUUGGGUGGGUGACCACCUGGGAACCGCGUGCCGUUG
This is a non-coding RNA of Caerostris darwini, 74 nucleotides long. The record is from the annotation of a GenBank genome assembly. NCBI's taxonomy places the organism in Eukaryota, Metazoa, Arthropoda, Arachnida, Araneae, Araneidae.